This 823-nucleotide ribosomal RNA is filed under the name Gerhardtia sp. LIP PAMMart07-55. RNAcentral describes it as "eukaryotic LSU rRNA". The stretch from base 281 to 434 matches the Rfam family "5.8S ribosomal RNA". Lineage: Eukaryota; Fungi; Basidiomycota; Agaricomycetes; Agaricales; Lyophyllaceae. The record is from RNAcentral.
GUAACAAGGUUUCCGUAGGUGAACCUGCGGAAGGAUCAUUAUUGAAUAAAAUAAGUCAGGUUGUUGCUGACUCUUAGGAGUAAGUGCACGCCUGGCGCCAUUUUAUUACCACCUGUGCACUAUUUGUAGACCUUGAACAUUUCUCGGAGUGAUUAACUUCGGAUUGAAGGAAAAAUGUCCUUUGGGGCUGUUCCCUUGAGUUCUAGGUCUAUGUUUAUUAUCAUACUCAUUGAAUGUAAUUGAAUGUUUAUUAUGGCCUUUGUGCCUUUAAAUAUAAUACAACUUUCAACAACGGAUCUCUUGGCUCUCGCAUCGAUGAAGAACGCAGCGAAAUGCGAUAAGUAAUGUGAAUUGCAGAAUUCAGUGAAUCAUCGAAUCUUUGAACGCACCUUGCGCUCUUUGGUAUUCCGAAGAGCAUGCCUGUUUGAGUGUCAGUAAAUUUAUCAACCUUAUUAAUGAUUUUUAUUAGUAAGGCUUGGACUCUGGGGGGGUGUUUGCGGGCUUGUUAUUAAGUCGGCUCCCCUUAAAUGUAUUAGUGAGGCCUAUGUUGACCAUCACUGGUGUGAUAAUUAUCUACGCCAUUGAUUAAUAUAAGGGCUUGCUUCUAACCGUCUUAUUAUAAGACAACUUGACAAAUUUGACCUCAAAUCAGGUAGGACUACCCGCUGAACUUAAGCAUAUCAAUAAGCGGAGGAAAAGAAACUAACAAGGAUUCCCUUAGUAACUGCGAGUGAAGUGGGAAGAGCUCAAAUUUAAAAUCUGGUAGUCUUUGGCUGCCCGAGUUGUAAUCUAGAGAAGCAUUAUCCGCGCUGGACCGUGUACA